RNAcentral lists this ribosomal RNA (253 nucleotides) under uncultured bacterium. Its description in RNAcentral is "partial 16S ribosomal RNA". It matches the Rfam family "Bacterial small subunit ribosomal RNA", at positions 524 to 776 of the family's 1533-position model. The record is from RNAcentral.
UACAGAGGUCUCAAGCGUUGUUCGGAUUCAUUGGACGUAAAGGGUGUGUAGGUGGCGCCGUAAGUCAGGUGUGAAAUCUCGGGGCUUAACUCCGAAACUGCAUUUGAUACUGCGGUGCUUGAGGACUGGAGAGGAGACUGGAAUUUAUGGUGUAGCAGUGAAAUGCGUAGAUAUCAUAAGGAAGACCAGUGGCGAAGGCGGGUCUCUGGACAGUUCCUGACACUGAGACACGAAGGCCAGGGGAGCAAACGGG